CCCCCUUUAGUUUAAUUAUUAAAACUCUCCAAUUUCAUUGGUUAAAUGACCUAGGUCAAGGGGGC
This 65-nucleotide transfer RNA is filed under the name Hoplopleura edentula. RNAcentral's name for it is "tRNA-Glu". The record is from RNAcentral. Lineage: Eukaryota; Metazoa; Arthropoda; Insecta; Psocodea; Hoplopleuridae.